UGGGGAAUAUUGGACAAUGGGCGAAAGCCUGAUCCAGCCAUGCCGCGUGUGUGACGAAGGUCUUCGGAUUGUAAAGCACUUUAAGUUGGGAGGAAGGGCAGCAAGCGAAUACCUUGCUGUUUUGACGUUACCGACAGAAUGAGCACCGGCUAACUCUGUGCCAGCAGCCGCGGUAAUACAGAGGGUGCAAGCGUUAAUCGGAAUUACUGGGCGUAAAGCGCGCGUAGGUGGUUCGUUAAGUUGAAUGUGAAAGCCCCGGGCUCAACCUGGGAACUGCAUCCAAAACUGGCGAGCUAGAGUAGGGCAGAGGGUGGUGGAAUUUCCUGUGUAGCGGUGAAAUGCGUAGAUAUAGGAAGGAACACCAGUGGCGAAGGCGACCACCUGGGCUCAUACUGACACUGAGGUGCGAAAGCGUGGGGAGCAAACAGG
RNAcentral lists this ribosomal RNA (429 nucleotides) under Pseudomonadota bacterium. RNAcentral describes it as "Proteobacteria bacterium partial 16S ribosomal RNA". It matches the Rfam family "Bacterial small subunit ribosomal RNA", at positions 355 to 776 of the family's 1533-position model. The record is from RNAcentral. Lineage: Bacteria; Pseudomonadati; Pseudomonadota.